GUUGAGAAGCGAGAGUGCCUGCUGCUCAGAGGACCCCGGCCCCUUCCACGCCGUGAGGCAGGGGCGGGAGACCGCGAGUCCGGCCGGAUGCCACACCCCGCCUUCCACGGCGGACAGGACGAAGAGCGGCCCUGUUGGCCAUGAACGUCCGUUCCUCGUCCGGCCUGGGAGAGCGGGACAUCACCACAUGGAUCGAUGGACAGAGCGGACAAUUUCCCUCGGCCCUUGGGCAGCAUUUCCGAGAGGCAGAACAGCUCAUCUUAAAGAAGUCUUAUCGUAGACUUUGCCUUGAUACGAGGACAAGGAUCCCAUUUGAUCCAACCUGAAUUCAACCUUCUCUUUUAACUUCCAUUCAAAGCAUCGGAAAACUUCCAGCUCUGAGUGGGUCGCUGUU
Molecule: long non-coding RNA, 394 nt
Organism: Physeter macrocephalus (sperm whale)
Lineage: Eukaryota; Metazoa; Chordata; Mammalia; Artiodactyla; Physeteridae
Exons: 4
Source: RefSeq, a predicted model, not a curated record